This 937-nucleotide ribosomal RNA is filed under the name Hafnia alvei. Its description in RNAcentral is "bacterial SSU rRNA". It matches the Rfam family "Bacterial small subunit ribosomal RNA", at positions 77 to 1008 of the family's 1533-position model. The record is from RNAcentral. Lineage: Bacteria; Pseudomonadati; Pseudomonadota; Gammaproteobacteria; Enterobacterales; Hafniaceae.
UGCUCUCUGGGUGACGAGCGGCGGACGGGUGAGUAAUGUCUGGGAAACUGCCUGAUGGAGGGGGAUAACUACUGGAAACGGUAGCUAAUACCGCAUGACGUCUUCGGACCAAAGUGGGGGACCUUCGGGCCUCACGCCAUCAGAUGUGCCCAGAUGGGAUUAGCUAGUAGGUGGGGUAACGGCUCACCUAGGCGACGAUCUCUAGCUGGUCUGAGAGGAUGACCAGCCACACUGGAACUGAGACACGGUCCAGACUCCUACGGGAGGCAGCAGUGGGGAAUAUUGCACAAUGGGCGCAAGCCUGAUGCAGCCAUGCCGCGUGUAUGAAGAAGGCCUUCGGGUUGUAAAGUACUUUCAGCGAGGAGGAAGGCAUUGUGGUUAAUAACCGCAGUGAUUGACGUUACUCGCAGAAGAAGCACCGGCUAACUCCGUGCCAGCAGCCGCGGUAAUACGGAGGGUGCAAGCGUUAAUCGGAAUUACUGGGCGUAAAGCGCACGCAGGCGGUUGAUUAAGUCAGAUGUGAAAUCCCCGAGCUUAACUUGGGAACUGCAUUUGAAACUGGUCAGCUAGAGUCUUGUAGAGGGGGGUAGAAUUCCAGGUGUAGCGGUGAAAUGCGUAGAGAUCUGGAGGAAUACCGGUGGCGAAGGCGGCCCCCCUGGACAAAGACUGACGCUCAGGUGCGAAAAGCGUGGGGGAGCAAACAGGAUUAGAUACCCUGGUAGUCCACGCUGUAAACGAUGUCGACUUGGAGGUUGUGCCCUUGAGGCGUGGCUUCCGGAGCUAACGCGUUAAGUCGACCGCCUGGGGAGUACGGCCGCAAGGUUAAAACUCAAAUGAAUUGACGGGGGCCCGCACAAGCGGUGGAGCAUGUGGUUUAAUUCGAUGCAACGCGAAGAACCUUACCUACUCUUGACAUCCAGAGAAUUUAGCAGAGAUA